This 467-nucleotide ribosomal RNA is filed under the name uncultured bacterium. RNAcentral's name for it is "partial 16S ribosomal RNA". It matches the Rfam family "Bacterial small subunit ribosomal RNA", at positions 29 to 507 of the family's 1533-position model. The record is from RNAcentral.
ACGAACGCUGGCGGCGUGCUUAACACAUGCAAGUCGAACGGAAAGGCCCUGCUUUUGUGGGGUGCUCGAGUGGCGAACGGGUGAGUAACACGUGAGUAACCUGCCCUUGACUUUGGGAUAACUUCAGGAAACUGGGGCUAAUACCGGAUAGGAGCUCCUGCUGCAUGGUGGGGGUUGGAAAGUUUCGGCGGUUGGGGAUGGACUCGCGGCUUAUCAGCUUGUUGGUGGGGUAGUGGCUUACCAAGGCUUUGACGGGUAGCCGGCCUGAGAGGGUGACCGGCCACAUUGGGACUGAGAUACGGCCCAGACUGCUACGGGAGGCUGCAGUGGGGAAUAUUGCACAAUGGGCGGAAGCCUGAUGCAGCAACGCCGCGUGCGGGAUGACGGCCUUCGGGUUGUAAACCGCUUUCGCCUGUGACGAAGCGUGAGUGACGGUAAUGGGUAAAGAAGCACCGGCUAACUACGUG